CCCCCCCCCCUUCUUUUAUUUCCCCCUCUCUUGGGAACUGGGGAGGUCUUAAUUAUAAAAUUGGCUGGUUUUGGUGGCUUUUUUCCGGGGGGCAGGACCUUUUUUUUUUCACACACCCCCUUCCUUUGGGCCGAGCUUUUUUUUUUUUUGGAGGGGAAUGGGCCCCCUUCCCUUUUAUUUUCCCAUGAAAAUCUAAUUAUUAAAACCUGAUGUAAAUGGAUUCUCCACAUCUUAAAUACAAAGUUUCACCAACAUAUCUGUUGCUCUCGCAUCGAGCAGCACCGCAGCGAAAUGCGAUAAGUAAUGUGAAUUGCAGAAUUCAGUGAAUCAUCGAAUCUUUGAACGCACCUUGCGCUCCUUGGUAUUCCUUGGAGCAUGCCUGUUUGAGUAUCAUGAAAUUAUCAAAGCAAAGUCUUUUUUUUUGUUGUUGUUAAUUCAACUUAAAGUCUGCGCUUUGGAUUUGGAGGUUUUGCAGAUUUAAAUUUCUGCUCCUCUUAAAUGCAUUAGCUGGAUCUCUAUGAACUUGGUUCCACUCGGCGUGAUAAGUUAUCACUCGUCGAGGACACCCGUAAAAAAGGUGGCCAGGAUUUUUCAAGGAUGAGCCGCUUCUAAAUAGUCCAUUGACUUGGACAAAAUUUAUGAUCUGAUCUCAAAUCAGGUAGGACUUUCCCGCUGAAUCUUAA
Molecule: ribosomal RNA, 683 nt
Filed under: Ceratorhiza oryzae-sativae
Lineage: Eukaryota; Fungi; Basidiomycota; Agaricomycetes; Cantharellales; Ceratobasidiaceae
Description: eukaryotic LSU rRNA
Rfam family: 5.8S ribosomal RNA (bases 241-393)
Source: RNAcentral